Molecule: non-coding RNA, 482 nt
Organism: Paramisgurnus dabryanus
Lineage: Eukaryota; Metazoa; Chordata; Actinopteri; Cypriniformes; Cobitidae
Source: RefSeq, a predicted model, not a curated record
UGUCAAAGGUACAUCUUUGACGUUUAUAACAAACCAAUCCGUUUGAAAAUCGGUAAAAAAUUAAGCAAGUUAUGGUCAUUUAAAAGUACCUGCAUCAUUAAAACUCAAUGCUACGAGUGAGCGAGCGCCCUGUCCUAAGAUGGCCGCCAAAAUGCGGACGUUCCACUCAAUUGGCCAUCAGCGCGGACGAGCCAUCUAGCCUUUAUAUACAUAUCUAUGGUUGUAGCUGCAUGAAGUCUGCUGCAAUUUCUCUGAGAUUUCUCAAGAUCAUCAGUUUGGACAGAAUUCAUUUGAAGAAUUAAUAGCACUAGCAGGUUCCAAUAAAGGCUGGAACAGAACAGACAGAAAAGAAUCUGUCAGAAGAAAUUCAACUACUGUUCGUGCACCAGAUGGUGAAGUAGAAAAGUUCGUAAAAACUUCUGCAGCUUGCAUCUGACAGAGAUGCAAAAAGAAUAAGAGAGCGGGCCUGAAAACAAGCAAAU